UAUGCUUAGGGCUACACACGUGCUACAAUGGGUAGUACAGAGGGUUGCCAAGCCGUAAGGUGGAGCUAAUCCCUUAAAGCUAUUCUCAGUUCGGAUUGUAGGCUGAAACUCGCCUACAUGAAGCUGGCGUUACUAGUAAUCGCAGAUCAGAAUGCUGCGGUGAAUGCGUUCCCGGGUCUUGUACACACCGCCCGUCACACCACGGG
Molecule: ribosomal RNA, 206 nt
Filed under: Clostridioides difficile
Lineage: Bacteria; Bacillati; Bacillota; Clostridia; Peptostreptococcales; Peptostreptococcaceae
Description: partial 16S ribosomal RNA
Rfam family: Bacterial small subunit ribosomal RNA
Source: RNAcentral